RNAcentral lists this small RNA (3094 nucleotides) under Pongo abelii (Sumatran orangutan). RNAcentral's name for it is "retained intron". Lineage: Eukaryota; Metazoa; Chordata; Mammalia; Primates; Hominidae. The record is from RNAcentral.
UGUGGCAGCAACGCUUGUGGCAGCAGCAGCCAUAGGGAGGCCAGGCGUGGAGGCGGCACCGGGCUCGGAGCUGGCCAGGGUCCCCUCGCCUAUGGAGCACACAGCCACCACAGGCCCCAGGCCUGGACCUCCCCCUCGGCGGGUGGAGAAUGUUGUGCUACCAGCCAAGGACUGGCUGCCAGGACCUCCUGGGGGCACCGCAGUGUGGGCCACCAGCUCGGAAGCAGAGGUCCCACCAGAUCUAGCGCUCAAUAAGGAGCAGCAGUUGCAGAUCUCCAAGGAGCUGGUCGACAUUCAGAUCACAACCCACCACCUACAGGAGCAGCACGAGGCUGAAAUCUUCCAGCUGAAGAGUGAGGUGCAGCCCAAGAACGCCGUGAACCCCGAGAACGAGCAGCACAGCCUGGGGAGCGGCGUGAGUGUGCAGCCACCUAGCUCAGGGGAGAGGGCAGCACCAGAGACCCCAAGCCUACGGUCUCAUCCAGCCAGCCCUGUGUGCCCCACAGCUGCUGGGGGGCCAGGAGCAGCUGCAGGGAGAAGUGAAGUGGGCGCUGGAGCGUCAAGAGGCCCGGCAGCAGGCACUGGAGAUGCGUGUGUGAGUGGCCAUCUCACCUGGGGCCCCAUCCCGGAGCAGAGAGAACUCCUCAUCGUGGGCCUGCUGAGCCUUGCCCCCGUGUCUUCAGGGCAGCCCUGGGCCGGCAGCUGCAGGGAGCCCGAGAGGAGGCCAGGGCAGCCGGGCAGCGACUAGCCACACAGGCUGUGGUGAGGCCCUGCCCUGACUGCUUGGAGACCUGGAGGGUGGGGGUCCCACAAGCUCAGCCGGGGUCCACUCUCAGGACACAGGUUGAGGGCUGCUUCCACCCCAGGUGCUGUGCAGCUGCCGAGGCCAGCUCCAUCAGGCAGAGGCCGAGAACGCCCGGCUGCAGCUGCAGCUCAAGAAACUGAAGGACGAGUAUGUCCUGCGGCUGCAGCACUGCGCCCGGGAGGCAGUGGUGAGCCCUGCAGGAGCACCCUGAGGCCUAGGGAGCCCAAACUUGGCCUGGGUGUGCUGGAUAGCUUCAGGGAGACCCCAGGGCUCUGGCACUGCUCAGCCUGCUGGUGUGGGGGGAUGGUUAGAAAAGAUGGGGGGUGGGUCCCAUGCGGACCCAGCCCGCCACCUCCAGGAGCACGCAGAUGGUACAGGCCAAGCGCCAGCUACCACGGCCCUCCGGACAUUCCUGGAGGCGACUCUGGAGGACAUCCGGGCAGCGCACCGCAGCCGUGAGCAGCAACUGGCCCGGGCUGCCCGCACCUACCACAAGAGGCUGGUGGAUCUCAGCCGCAGGCAUGAGGAGUUGCUGGUUGCCUACAGGUGGGCCCUGCUGGGAUGGGAGGUGUCAGGCAUCUGUGGGUCUCUAAGCCUCUGUGCCUCAAAGGCUUGGUGUGCAGCAGGAGUGGCCCCAGACAGACACUGGCCUACCCUGACAGGGCACCUGGGAACCCCCAAGCUAUUUUUGACGCAGCCAGCUUGGACCUGGAACCAUUGCCCGUGCCCCUGGUCACUGACUUCAGCCAUCGGGAGGACCAGGUGAAGCUAGAGACCCCCAGAAGCUCCAGGCCCAGGUGUCCCCCCACCCACCCACUGCCCCACACUGGCCUUGGCCCCAGAACUUGCCCCAGGCCUCAUCCUGGGCUCAACAGAGACCUCAGCCCUGGGUCUCUGAGGGGCCUGCCUUGCUCAGCCAACUGAAACGUCCCCACCACAAACCUCUGUAGCAUGGGGCACUGCUCUCAUCCCCAAAGAAGGGACCCGGUGGAGCCUCCCAGGGAGGAACGUCAGAGCCACAGUAAGUGCUCUCAUGCGUGUGGGGGAGGCCUGUGGGGGAUGGGCAAAGAGCACAAUGCCUGCACCCUGGGGCCCCCAGUUGCUCCACUAAGCCCCCGCCAAACAGGGUCUGGUCACAGCAACGCACUCAGUGGCACAUCCCCACCCUGGGGUCCCUCCGUGGGUCCCGGGGACACUGAUAAUUACAGGAAAGAGAAGAGGGGCUGCUGCAGGUGGAGCUAGCCUUGAACACAGAGGAUCAGGGAGAGCACACCUGAGGGAAGUUUCCGCUGAGACCUGGAGGGUUCGAGGGGUGGGAGCAGGGUGCCUGGUGACCUGGCCAGCCCUUGCCUCUGGGUCUCCAUGUUCCCAGCUGUACAACAGGCAGGGCUCCCCAAGGACCAUUUCCCAGGGUUUAGGGCACACCCAUGUGGGGGUGGCAUCCCUGUUGAUACUGGAGUCACUGGGCUGGCCUUGUGGUUUAGCCCUCUCCGAGCAGCCAGCAGACUCCCUGGGCCCGGGCUGCCCCCAUACACGGAUGGCUCCAAGGCCUGGGCGGGGGGCCAUAGGAGCACGGGGGGGCCCAUGCCUCCCUCACUGACUCCCAGGUGUCCCCUACCGGCUCUGGGAACCUGACUUAGCACGGUCACAGGUCUGUCCCUGUGUCACCACGCCAGCUCUCAAAACCACUCCUCCUUUCCUCUCCCCUCACAGGGGCCUGGACGCUGCAUCCUGGGCCCAGAUCCACCAGAAGCUCCGGGACUUCUUCCGCAGCACCCAGGUAGGAGGCAAGGGCUGGCCCAGGCCCCUCCUCACACCAUGCCCCAGCUCAUGGCUUACACCCCCAUGCCAGGCAGAGCUGGAACGGGAGCGGGCACAGCUGCUGGUCCGGGCCACGAUGGCUGAAGAGCAACUUUCUGAGCUACAGGAGUACGUGGACCAGCACCUGGGCAGGUGGGCAGAGGGAGCUGGGUGUGAUCCCAGGGCCCUGGUCUGGCCGGAAUGGAGGAUGAUGGCUGCCUUGGGUGCUAGAGGCAGACCUGUCCACAGCUGGGCAGGUGACUUAAGCAUGGUCCCUCUGAGCAGGUACAAACACGAAAUCCUGAGGCUGAGGAAGCUGGCAGGUGCAGGGGACCCCUGGAAAGUGGGGGCUGUGCCUCCAGCCAAGCCCCAGCAUCCAAGGACCGGCAGCCACUAGGCCGUCUCCCAAGGAGCAGAGCAGAGCCCGUCACAGCCAGCACGGAGCCCUCCCACCCAGCCCCCCAUGAAACAUGAGUCAGGAUACAACCC